RNAcentral lists this unclassified non-coding RNA (337 nucleotides) under soil metagenome. RNAcentral's name for it is "partial contains 5.8S ribosomal RNA, internal transcribed spacer 2, and large subunit ribosomal RNA". The stretch from base 1 to 120 matches the Rfam family "5.8S ribosomal RNA", at positions 35 to 154 of the family's 154-position model. The record is from RNAcentral.
GAUGAAGAACGUAUUGAAAUGCGAUAAGUAGUGUGAAUUGCAGAAUUCAGUGAAUCAUCGAAUCUUUGAACGCACAUUGCGCCCCUUGGUAUUCCAUGGGGCAUGCCUGUUCGAGCGUCAUUUGUACCCUCAAGCUAAGCUUGGUGUUGGGUGUUUGUCCACUCCCUCGUGUUUGGACUCGCCUUAAAACAAUUGGCAGCCAGUGUUUUGGUAUUGAAGCGCAGCACAAUUUGCGAUUCUAGCCUAGAAUACUAGCAUCCAUCAAGUCAUUUUUAACGCUUGACCUCGGAUCAGGUAGGGAUACCCGCUGAACUUAAGCAUAUCAAUAAGCGGAGGA